This 296-nucleotide long non-coding RNA is filed under the name Salvia miltiorrhiza (redroot sage). Its description in RNAcentral is "long non-coding RNA (SMIL_LNC009694)". Lineage: Eukaryota; Viridiplantae; Streptophyta; Magnoliopsida; Lamiales; Lamiaceae. The record is from RNAcentral.
ACAGAUUCGGUUACCUUGGCACCCAAAAAGCCAAGAGGAAGUUCAGCUUAAAGGUUCUGACUCCAAAGACCUUAGUGUUUCGCUGGGUGGACACGAGAGUGUUAGGGCGCACUAAGUGUAAAAUCCAACCAAGAGUGGUGUUGGUAGGUUUGCUAUGCACAUCAAGCAUUUCCCAGAGUGUUUGUCAGAUUGAUCAUCUUAUUGUGGAGUAGGAACUUUGUUUCCGAACCACGUAAAAUUCUUGUGUCGUUUACUGCUUUCAGCUAUUGUUUUCUCUGUGUUGUUUCUUCUAUCUA